This 311-nucleotide ribosomal RNA is filed under the name uncultured eukaryote. Its description in RNAcentral is "partial 18S ribosomal RNA". It matches the Rfam family "Eukaryotic small subunit ribosomal RNA", at positions 1470 to 1796 of the family's 1831-position model. The record is from RNAcentral.
CCCCUAGACGUUCUGGGCUGCACGCGCGCUACAAUAAUACGCACAGCGAGUAUCACCGGGCUCGAAAGGGCAAGGUAAACAAUAGAAAAGGUACUGUAAUGGUUAUAGAUCCUUGUAAUUAUUGAUCUUCAACGAGGAAUUCCUAGUAAGUAUGUGUCAUCAUCACGCACUGAUUACGUCCCUGCCCUUUGUACACACCGCCCGUCGCUCCUACCGAUUGGGUGAGCCGAUGAAACUCUCGGAUGUAGGCUAUUCAUAGCCCGCAGAAGAGAUUUGAAUCGUAGCGCUUAGAGGAAGGAGAAGUCGUAACA